Molecule: ribosomal RNA, 253 nt
Filed under: uncultured bacterium
Lineage: Bacteria
Description: partial 16S ribosomal RNA
Rfam family: Bacterial small subunit ribosomal RNA
Source: RNAcentral
UACGUAGGGUGCGAGCGUUAAUCGGAAUUACUGGGCGUAAAGCGUGCGCAGGCGGUUUUGUAAGCCAGAUGUGAAAUCCCCGGGCUCAACCUGGGAAUGGCAUUUGGGACUGCAAGGCUCGAGUGCGGCAGAGGAGACUGGAAUUCCUGGUGUAGCAGUGAAAUGCGUAGAUAUCAGGAGGAACACCAGUGGCGAAAGCGGCCACCUGGACUGCACCUGACGCUGACACGCGAAAGCUAGGGGAGCGAACGGG